GACGGGUAGCUUAGGUUGGCUGGAGCACCCGGCUGAUAACCGGGAGGUCGCAGGUUC
RNAcentral lists this transfer RNA (57 nucleotides) under Candidatus Poseidoniales archaeon. RNAcentral describes it as "Marine Group II euryarchaeote (marine metagenome) tRNA-Ile". The record is from RNAcentral. Lineage: Archaea; Methanobacteriati; Thermoplasmatota; Candidatus Poseidoniia; Candidatus Poseidoniales.